RNAcentral lists this signal recognition particle RNA (300 nucleotides) under Phascolarctos cinereus (koala). RNAcentral describes it as "Metazoan signal recognition particle RNA (ENSPCIG00000027272.2)". It matches the Rfam family "Metazoan signal recognition particle RNA". From Rfam's summary of the family: The signal recognition particle (SRP) is a universally conserved ribonucleoprotein. It is involved in the co-translational targeting of proteins to membranes. The record is from RNAcentral. Lineage: Eukaryota; Metazoa; Chordata; Mammalia; Diprotodontia; Phascolarctidae.
GUGGGUAUAUUGACACAUGCCUCUAAUCCCUGAUACUGGAGAAGCUGAGUCUAGAGGAGGUCUUGAGCUUGGGGGCUCUGAGUUGCAGUAGGACAAAAGUCAAUGAGGUGUCCUCAUUAAGUUCAGCAUUAAUGUGGUGAGCCCCCAGGAGUAGAGAACCACUAGACUGUCUAAGAAGGAUUGAACCAACCCAUGGUGGAAAUGAAGUAGGUCAAAAUACCUAUGACAGUCUGAAUGGUAUAGAGCCAGGGAAUAGCCCCUGUACUUCCCCCUGGGCAAGAUAGAGAGACCCAGUUUUAU